CUACGGGGCGCUGCAGUGGGGAAUAUUGGACAAUGGGGGAAACCCUGAUCCAGCAAUGCCGCGUGUGUGAAGAGGGCCUGCGGGUUGUAAAGCACUUUCGGUUGGGAGGACUGCUUCUAGCACUAAUAUUGUUGGAAGUUGACGUUACCUUCAGAAGAAGCACCGGCUAACGCCGUGCCAGCAGCCGCGGUAAUACGGAGGGUGCAAGCGUAAAUCGGAAUUACUGGGUGUAAAGCGCGCGUAGGCGGCUAGGUCAGUCGGGUGUGAAAGCCCCGGGCUUAACCUGGGAACUGCAUCCGAUACUGUCUAGCUUGAGUACAGGAGAGGAGAGUGGAAUUCCACAUGUAGCGGUGAAAUGCGUAGAUAUGUGGAGGAACACCAAUGGCGAAGGCAGCUCUCUGGCCUGAUACUGACGCUGAGGUGCGAAAGCGUGGGGAGCAAACAGGAUUAGAUACCCUUGUAGUC
RNAcentral lists this ribosomal RNA (465 nucleotides) under uncultured bacterium. RNAcentral describes it as "partial 16S ribosomal RNA". It matches the Rfam family "Bacterial small subunit ribosomal RNA", at positions 339 to 795 of the family's 1533-position model. The record is from RNAcentral.